UCUCAAGUUGUUUUUUGAUGUUUACAAAAUCUGUGCAUUGAGCGGGUCGUGUUUUCAGCCUCACCCCUUCCACUCGGUGCAACAGUCUGUUGCCAGUGGCGUUCCACACGUACAGGGAGGAGGGACAGGGUCUUGCUCUGUCGCCCACACUAGACUGCAUCCUCGACCACCUGGGCUCAAGUGAUCUACCCACAUCGGCCUCUCAAAGUGCUGGGAUUACAGGAGUGAACAAGUGUGCCUAGCCACGAAUGCCACCUUAAUCAAGAAAUCUGGUAAUACUACUUCAACCACAGUAAUAUCUUCAGUAAUGAAACAAAUUGACAUCAUUUACCUCCUGAUAUGAUACAAAGGCACAUCAUCUAUGUAGUAUUAUUUCCAGAAAUGGUUAACUGAGUCAUUAGACUCAGAAGAACAACCAGAGAAAUCUACAAGCAGUUGGCCUGGACCCUUCAAACACGUCAAUGCCAUGAGGUGAUUGUCCUGAAUUAAAGGAAGCUAACAAUACAUGACAACCAACGUUUGA
This is a long non-coding RNA of Gorilla gorilla gorilla (western lowland gorilla), 523 nucleotides long. RefSeq lists it as uncharacterized. The transcript has 2 exons. The record is from RefSeq and is a predicted model, not a curated record. Lineage: Eukaryota; Metazoa; Chordata; Mammalia; Primates; Hominidae.